RNAcentral lists this ribosomal RNA (367 nucleotides) under uncultured Prevotella sp. RNAcentral describes it as "bacterial SSU rRNA". It matches the Rfam family "Bacterial small subunit ribosomal RNA", at positions 355 to 719 of the family's 1533-position model. Lineage: Bacteria; Pseudomonadati; Bacteroidota; Bacteroidia; Bacteroidales; Prevotellaceae. The record is from RNAcentral.
UGAGGAAUAUUGGUCAAUGGACGAAAGUCUGAACCAGCCAUGCCGCGUGAAGGAAUAAGGCCCUAUGGGUCGUAAACUUCUUUUGUAUGUGAGCAAUAAGGUCCACGUGUGGACCGAUGAGAGUAGCAUACGAAUAAGCAUCGGCUAACUCCGUGCCAGCAGCCGCGGUAAUACGGAAGGUCCGGGCGUUAUCCGGAUUUAUUGGGUUUAAAGGGAGCGUAGGCCGGAGAUUAAGCGUGUUGUGAAAUGUAGUGGCUCAACCUCUGCACUGCAGCGCGAACUGGUCUUCUUGAGUACGCACAACGUGGGCGGAAUUCGUGGUGUAGCGGUGAAAUGCUUAGAUAUCACGAAGAACUCCGAUUGCGAA